Molecule: transfer RNA, 55 nt
Filed under: Epheloscyta sancta
Lineage: Eukaryota; Metazoa; Arthropoda; Insecta; Hemiptera; Aphalaridae
Description: tRNA-Leu
Source: RNAcentral
AUGUGUCAGAUAAUGUAUUAAAUUUAAGAUUUAACAAUGAAAUUUUCCUUUAGAA